GCGCCCCUAGCUCAACUGGAUAGAGCGUCGGCCUCCGGAGCCGAAGGUUACAGGUUCGAAUCCUGUGGGGCGUACCA
This 77-nucleotide transfer RNA is filed under the name Planctomycetota bacterium. RNAcentral's name for it is "tRNA-Arg". It matches the Rfam family "tRNA". From Rfam's summary of the family: Transfer RNA (tRNA) molecules are approximately 80 nucleotides in length. Their secondary structure includes four short double-helical elements and three loops (D, anti-codon, and T loops). The record is from RNAcentral. Lineage: Bacteria; Pseudomonadati; Planctomycetota.